CCUACGGGGCGCUGCAGUGAGGAAUAUUGGUCAAUGGGAGAGAUCCUGAACCAGCCAAGCCGCGUGAGGGAAGACGGCCCUAUGGGUUGUAAACCUCUUUUGUCGGAGAACAAAACCCGGGACGUGUCCCGGACUGCGUGUAUCCGAAGAAAAAGCAUCGGCUAACUCCGUGCCAGCAGCCGCGGUAAUACGGAGGAUGCGAGCGUUCUCCGGAUUUAUUGGGUUUAAAGGGUGCGUAGGCGGUCCGUUAAGUCAGCGGUAAAAUUGCGGGGCUCAACCCCGGCGAGCAGGUGAAAAUGGCAGACAUGAGUUGGCGAGAAGUACGCGGAAGGUGCGGGGGAGAGGUGAAAUGCAUAGA
This 358-nucleotide ribosomal RNA is filed under the name uncultured bacterium. RNAcentral's name for it is "partial 16S ribosomal RNA". It matches the Rfam family "Bacterial small subunit ribosomal RNA", at positions 338 to 694 of the family's 1533-position model. The record is from RNAcentral.